GGCAAUCCUUAAACUUGUCACGUUGUGCCACUUAGGUCCACAAACUCAAAAUUGAAAUAUACCACCCUUAACUUCUUAAGUGAUUCAUCAGAGGUCCAUACCGCUUCGUCACCCACGUUCUCGCUAAUGUGGCACGAGAUGGUGGCAGGCAAUUUUGCACUGUCCCCCUCACCUUCUAUCUCCUCCCCUGAAUCAAUCCCAUCUUCUCCCAUCGCUCCCUUCUCUCUCUCUCUCUCUCUCUCUCUCUCUCUCUCUCUCCCCCUCGUCCAUACUGUACUACCGACCUACUAGAGGGGAGGGAGCAGGCGCAUGGGCAUUGAGUGUCAAUGGGCGGUAGAGGAGCUUGUUGGAACUGUGCGGUGAAGCGAUGGCGGGCUGCCAGAGCCUUGAGCUACGGGCUGCGGCGGAACGGAGGGGCGGCCGUGUAGAUCCGAAGCAUGCGGUGAUGGGUCUAGCAAGUUGCGCGUAGCUCGUGAGAGGAGCGGUGUGGACUGUGGCGCUCCUGCGGCGGAUCAACAUGCCACACGCUCUCAGCGAUAGCAGGAGGUGGCCUAACUUGAUCAGGAUCAAACACACACAUCGUAAGACAAACCAAUUCUCAAGCUAUUGCUACUCUGCUCUUCUACGAGAACAGGACUUCACCUCGAGCUAAAGUUAGCGUGCCUUGAUCCAUUUCGCUCAAAUCUCCUCCGUGUAUAGCUCUAGCACAUUCCAAUUGAUAACCCAACGCGACAAAUUGGAACCAAAUUCACGCGACAAAUUCGCCAAUCUGGUCGGAACACUACCACCGCCGCUUUUUGUGCCCUGCCAUGGCCGCUACCGCAGAGCUCAGGCUAGAGCAAGCUCAGGCUAGAGCAUGAGGGCCUGGGUUUAGGGAAGCACUACAUCGAGUAUGGUCAUGCGCAGCUCACACACUUCCCAAAACACGAGCCGCCGCUGUUGUUUUUGCACUCGCCGCCAUGCCGUAGAGCUGCUCCACCGUCGCGCAUCUGUCUAACAGUUGGCGAGACCCUAGACCUGGACGACAACACCAUAGAAAGGUGCAUGAGAUCACAAGGAAGCUCCUCAUCGUCGGCGGUUCCUGCGACACCGCCACCACCACCGCCAAGUCCAGCGCUGUACGCCGUGGACGACCGGCGCUCCUCUUCAGCUGCGCGAGGAUGAAGCCGGCCACCUCCAUGUGCUCCCUUCCUCUCACCAAUUCGUGCUGCGAGUGGUCGACGAGGCACGGUGGGUGCUGCUCUAGAGAAGAGUUGCAGCUGCAAUGGCGGAGAGGAGCUUCGACGGCGGCGAUGGAGAAAGAAGACACGGGCAAGAGACUGUGAUUCCGUGAAGGACAUAAAUGGGAGGGAAUGGGACUACAGGAGGGGUAUAGUGCAAACAUGUCUACCAUGCUGGACUGCCACAUCAGCAAGGGAGAGCUGAGUAGCUGACAAAGCAGCAUGGACCUCCAGUGGACCACUUGACAAGUUUAGGGUGUUUGAUUUCGAUUUUGAGAGUCCGUGGACCUAAGUGGUACAUCGUGACAAGUUUGAGGACCGCUGAUGUGUUUAACUCUUUUUUUUUAUUUGACCAAAGGGGAAAACUCAUCACAAUUUCAUUACUUGUUCAUGCACAUUACAAUUGCCCAAUCAGGAUUCACCUGUUUGCUGAUUCACUGUAUAAACUCGUUCAUCAAACUUUGCAAAAGCAAAAGUUGCUUUCCUUGCUGUCCACACUGAGUGAUAGCAAUAGCAUCAUUCAUUUCUGUUAUCUCCUCCAGCAUCACGAGAUGCCACCCCCACACAUUGCCUUCAGUUCCUUCAGGGUAGGUCAUUUAUCAGUGGGGAGUUCUCGUCCCCUAUCUUAAUCACGGAGUGCUAUCUGAAUGUUCCAUUCAUUUCAUAUGCAUUGCAUCUGAAUUGUGAAUAACAUGGUAUCAUAGAAUUGCAACUCAGUUCAUUAGGCUUCCAAUGGUGUUUACCCUGGGAGCUCGAGGAUUGGGUAGGUCUUAAGGGCUGGGGAUGCAUUGGUUAAAGAGUACUUCUGGGAUUGCUGGAUUUGGUUGUGCACCUCAGAAAUUUAGUGAUGGCCAUUGUCACAAAAUUUGGGGCCCACCAUAUUCUUUAUACCCAACACAGCAAACCUGAACAAGUUACAUUUAGGGCCAACAUAGCUUACAUGUUUGAGUAUAUAUUCAAUUUUGCCACUGCCAUCUGUUAGGCUUUGAUUAAUGCACUGAAGAGCUCAGCUCAGAGGUAUGCUAGAAAACCUGUGGGUUCCAUUGAAUCUGGUCCCCCUUUUUUCAAUAAAGGUUUUCCCAUUCAAUCUAUUUUUUGAUGCCCCGUUACUGAUAUGUUCUCUAUUGUUGUUGGUACCAUCUAAUGUUUUGAAAUUUGUUUGAAAACAAUUUUCUUCUUUAUGUGCUUAUGGUGGAAUCAUGGUGUUUAUAAGUUGUUUUGUGUAGUUAUUUUAAUGUUGAAGCUUGAACUCUUUUACCCAAUUGAUCGUAAUACUAAUGCUGCUGGAAUUACACAAAGCUUCCGGAGAUUUCAGACCUGUCCCUUCGUUGUCCACGACUUCUGCUAACUGUUAGUACAAAGCCAUGUUCUAGAAAACUAAUCUGCUGGGUGAUAUUUCUUCUGUUGACAAGGAACAGGCUGCUCUAUCUGAAACUUGAGUUUAGUAAAUAAUUUUGGGUCACAAUUAACUUGUUUACUAUAUUGUUUACCAUUAAUACUGAUUGGAGUUGUUGCUGUGGGGCUGGCAACAUUUCCCUGCUGGGACUGAGGGUGUGAAGUGCUUACAGCAGAAGAGGUUUCUCUCGGUGGAAAGGAAAGAGUAAAGAUACUGUUGAUUGUAGGCAAUCUCAUGUGCAUUACUGUUUUAACAAUGUAAUUAAUAGUCAGUUUCGUGGAAACUAUACUUGUAAAGUAAUGAGAGAGUGGUUAGUCUAUGUUUUCCUGCUCCUUUAGUGCCCGGAGCUCCAAACAACACUGAAACUUACUUUCUGAAGGUGUGAAGGAUAUCUGAAAUCCUUGUGUUUGUAUAUUUUUCACCAUCCCUCGAAUACAUAAGUUUUUUAAUACAUGUAUAGAGUUUUUUCUCUGCCAUUGAAAUUUUGGUAGCAUCCUUGACACAAAUUUCACUAGCUUCUUUUUACAAGCUAAUAGAUAUUAUCCUAUUAGGAUGGAUCAAAUGCAUUUCUGUUUUAGAAACGGAGUAGGAUUAGUUCUGAAUGUAUGUGUGGGACAAGUGACAAAUUUGUCCUGUACCUCUUGCAUUUCUGCUUUAGAAAAGGAGUAGGAUUAGUUCUGAAUGUGUGGGGCAAGUGACCAAUUUGUCCUGUACCUUUUGCAUUUCUGUUUUAGGAAAGGAGUAGGAGCAGGCCUUUUCCGUCAUGCUUCCUUCAUUGCACCUUGAAGAAAAUUACUAAGAGUCAUGGAUCAGAACUACUCUGAUCUCAUCUGAUGGCAUGUUGUUAAGAUUUGAUAUUGAUGAGUUGAUAUGCCAGCAGAUAAAUCUAUUCUUUUUUCUAAUAAACAAUAGAUUUAUCUUAUUUUUUUCUAAUAAAUCUUAUUUUGCCUAUUCAUAUAUAGCCAUCUUCUAUGUGCUCUGCAGUCUUUUUGUUUAUCUGGCCACCACCCACCAUUAGAAUACAUUAUUUGAUUGAAGUGUGUAGAUUGAUUUGAAUUAGGCCGGCACAGGUUAUUCAGAGGAGGGGCAAAGGAGUUGGUAUUUGAAUUGGCUGGUCGACUUACAGUUGACGGUAAGCCUGCUUCAGCCUAAAUAAGAUGUGCUUGCAGCUUUCCACACUGAUAAUCGACUAAUUUCAGGUUUGAUUUUUUUAGUCUAUUCUCUUCUGGACUUAAUGAUUGCUUUUAUAUUUUACGCUAAUUCAAGCUGGGUUGUGCAAUUGAUUCAGAAGCAUAUAGAGAGUAUUAGUGAAGGGGUUAAUUAAUCUGAAAUGUUGUAACCUAAUCUAAUAGGUUUUGAUUUUUGUCAAUUUCUUGACCAUAGAGCGUGGCCCAUGAGUACUAAUCAGUGUAUUGCUCUACGAUUUUUAGCCCAGGUGCUCUUGAUUUUUACCUAUGGAUCUGAUCUUGAUCGGAACCUUUACUUUUCUAUUGUAACUGCUGCUUCUCCAUUCUUAUUUACUCUGGGAAAAUAACACUGUUGUUUUGUUUGUGUUCACAUGACAGCUAGGAAUUCUUGGCCUGUAGAGACACUUGGCUUAUGCACUUUCUAGCUACUAAAAUUUGCGGUAAAAUUUUUCUGUUCAUUCAUACGAGAUACUUGUUUUGAAAAUUUUUAAGCUUACUAUAUAAUUGAUCAAUUACCAGUUGUCUAUUCCAUAGCCUAGAAAAAAUAAUACUCCAUCAACCAAACUAUAUCAUUUCUCCCUAUGCAUUUUGCAAGAAUCUUAUAACCGUAGUUUUGCUGAGUAUUUGUUUCAUAGUUCUUCACCUUGAGAUAUUUGAUAUGAGAGGCACCACCGAUGUGGCACUAGAAAAGAGACAAGGUAAGUUUUGAAAACAGUUUUACCAUCUUUAUCAGACCAUCAAGCACAAGCACUGCUUCUAUCAAUCCAUCAUGUCUUCCUUUGGUAGAAUUACUUGCCCUCUAUAUUUAUUGGAUAUUCUGAACAAUUGCUUUAGUUAUUUUCAUAUGAAUCUUAUGAUCGGAAAGGAUGGGUGAAGAUUGACAAAGCAGCUUAUUAGGACCUGACAAAAGUGAAGAAGUCGAAGCUGGAUGAGCAGGGUCUGCUUCAGUUGCCUGAUCAGCUCUACCUAGAUCAUGUCCAGUAGAGCCCUUUCCUUUACUGAUUCGAAAAAUGAAGAUGGUCCUAUUAUUAGGAGAAAUUCUAUAUGUAUUAGAAGAGUAUUAAGAGAUCGGUCUAUCCAUAAACUGGACCAACUCUUCGACAGUACUAGGUAUGUAAAGAAAUGAUGGCUUUCUUAUCAAUUUCAAUAGUAACCUUUGGUGUUCUGAUUUUUUAGGUCGCGUUAGCUUUCUUACACAUAGAAGUGCUUUAUGCUAACAUUUUGUUGCAUUACUCUAUUUUGUGCAUGCCAACCAAUAAUUAGCUUGUUGACCUUUGCUUAGGUCAGGAUCAGCUAUUGAGGGAUGUGCAAACGAAACAGUCAAGUAUUUAUCGUUACUUGAAUGGCCUCCUUUUUAAACUGAAUUUUUUUUAUUGAGGGAUGUGCAAACGAAACAGUCAAGUAUUUAUCGUUACUUGAAUGGCCUCCUUUUUAAACUGAAUUUUUUUUAUAUGCAGCAGCUCAUGAUUGAUGGGGACCAUGGGAUAAAUCACUGCUACAUAAUCCAUUAAUGAAUUUAACUUCCUGCCACAUAAUUCUUCAUAAAGCAAGUAACAUCAAUAUGUUUUGGUUAUUCUAAGUUGUCAAGUACUCAUAUUUGCCGGAGAUUGCUUAUAUGCUCUUCUGGAUUUAUGCAUUGGCUUUGUAGUGUGUAUGUUGCAUAGAUGUCUAGAAAAAACAUUCCACGUUUUGCAAUGGAUAUUCAAUUGUCAAAACUCAAAAAGACAGACACUAUAAAUGUGCUCAAUUUUAUGCUGCUUUUUAUUGUUUUGCUAGCUGAUCAAGUUUUGUUCUUGAUGUUUUAACUUGAGAAAUACGUGUUAUGUUGUAAUACAUGUUAUUCCCUCUAUAAUGAUGAAAUGUACAAUAUUGAAAUUCUAUUUCUCAAUUUUGUAUGAUAUAGUGUAAUUUAAUUUUUAUUUUGCCCUAGCAAUGCAUGGGCAUGAUCCUAGUAUAACAAAAAAAAAAAUCUUUUACAGCCUUCUGGUAGAAGAAUUUUGAUAACAAAAUGGAAAAAAGAGCCUGUUGGUUACUCCAAAAGAGAACGAACUCUUGACUCCAGGUUAGGCAUCAAACGAAAAUACCACUAGGCUACCACACGCCGUUGGUAAUUUCUGCAAAUUAUAUAAUGAGUAAAAUGCAUGAGCGGUCUUUGAACUUGUGAGUGUAUCACAUAGGUCCUCAAACUUUUAAAAUACAUAAUAAGGUCCCCAAACUUACUAAUCCUCCCAUAUAGGUCCAAAUAUCGAAAACUUCUAUUAACUUGCCUACAAGGGCACGUUGUAUAUGGGGUCGCUUGUCAGAUCUAUCUGCAGCUCCUCUCUCUCAUCAGCUUUUUCCGCACGUCCACCGGUGGUUCGCUCCCCGACGCUAGGGAAGACCACCAGCGAGAGCUUGUCAAGGCCACACCCACAUGACUACCCGCAACAAGGCAUGGAUUGCCAUACCUCGCUCUCCUGCCACUCCUGCUGCCUCCUCCUCUCCCGCCCUUCCUUACCCUUCUCUCGAACACCUUCUCGGCGUCGACCUCCGUGGCUCCUUGUUGUGUGCCACCGCCACUGCUUCCACUAUGCCCAAGUUCUCCGAUGCUCGUGUGAAGCGGCUUGGCGUCAGACAAUGCGGUGGUGGUGUUCAGCGUCUGCAUCUAUUGCAUGUGCCGCUGUCCCUCUCGUCUUCAUUGGCGGC
This 6488-nucleotide long non-coding RNA is filed under the name Setaria italica (foxtail millet). Its description in RNAcentral is "long non-coding RNA (SITA_LNC003032)". The record is from RNAcentral. Lineage: Eukaryota; Viridiplantae; Streptophyta; Magnoliopsida; Poales; Poaceae.